GCACAGAAGAGCUUGCCCUUUGGGUGACGAGUGGCGGACGGGUGAGUAAUGUCUGGGAAACUGCCCGAUGGAGGGGGAUAACUACUGGAAACGGUAGCUAAUACCGCAUAACGUCGCAAGACCAAAGUGGGGGACCUUCGGGCCUCACACCAUCGGAUGUGCCCAGAUGGGAUUAGCUAGUAGGUGGGGUAAUGGCUCACCUAGGCGACGAUCCCUAGCUGGUCUGAGAGGAUGACCAGCCACACUGGAACUGAGACACGGUCCAGACUCCUACGGGAGGCAGCAGUGGGGAAUAUUGCACAAUGGGCGCAAGCCUGAUGCAGCCAUGCCGCGUGUAUGAAGAAGGCCUUCGGGUUGUAAAGUACUUUCAGCGGGGAGGAAGGCGGUGAGGUUAAUAACCUCGCCGAUUGACGUUACCCGCAGAAGAAGCACCGGCUAACUCCGUGCCAGCAGCCGCGGUAAUACGGAGGGUGCAAGCGUUAAUCGGAAUUACUGGGCGUAAAGCGCACGCAGGCGGUCUGUUAAGUCAGAUGUGAAAUCCCCGGGCUUAACCUGGGAACUGCAUUUGAAACUGGCAGGCUUGAGUCUCGUAAGGGGGGUAGAAUUCCAGGUGUAGCGGUGAAAUGCGUAGAGAUCUGGAGGAAUACCGGUGGCGAAGGCGGCCCCCUGGACGAAAACUGACGCUCAGUGCAAAGCGUGGGGAGCAACAGGAUUAAAUACCUGGUAUCACGCCGUAAACAUUCACUGGAGGUGUGCCUUAGGCGUGGCUCCGGAACUACGCGUUAAUCACGCUGGGAGUACGGCGCAGUUAAACUCAAUAAUGACGGGGGCCCACAACGGUGACCUGUGUUAUUCAUCAACCAAAAACUUACUGCCUUACACUCAAAAAUUACAAAAUUUUGGUCCUCGGAC
RNAcentral lists this ribosomal RNA (912 nucleotides) under Pantoea agglomerans. RNAcentral describes it as "bacterial SSU rRNA". It matches the Rfam family "Bacterial small subunit ribosomal RNA", at positions 68 to 1025 of the family's 1533-position model. The record is from RNAcentral. Lineage: Bacteria; Pseudomonadati; Pseudomonadota; Gammaproteobacteria; Enterobacterales; Erwiniaceae.